CUUUGCGAAUAUUGAAAAAACGCCAAUCCACGAAGCCGACUGAUACCAACUUAUUUUCGGAAAACGGGAAGCUUUGGCAGGAGAUCGAUGCUGUCAUGUAUUUGGCAUCUGUCAUAAUCGCUGUUUGCAUUGCUUCAAGCGCUCUAGCAAGAUUUUCACCUAGGAGACCCCCAUGUAUUCGUUCAUAUGGCUGCGUAGCACCUACACACUGCCCUGCAAAACGCAUUACACCGUUUCGAAGUGGCUGCAAAGGAACAUCAGUUUGCUGCAACCUGCGAAAACGUGAUACGUGCACCAUGGUUGGAGGAACUUGUGAACGGAAAUGUGACUUUGAAAAUACUCAAGCUGGAUGUCCUGGUCGGAGGAGGUGCUGUAUCAAUUUGGAUCGCUGAGGUGCUUUCUAUACAGCUAUGCUGCAUGUAACACGACCUAUUGAUUCCGGCGAUCUCCUGAGUUUGCUUUUGAAAUAAAAAACUAGCCUAAUGCAAGUCCUAUUCAACUCGCAGUGGCUAUGCUAGUAGCAAUUUGAA
Rhipicephalus microplus (southern cattle tick) is the source of this 530-nucleotide long non-coding RNA. RefSeq lists it as uncharacterized. The record is from RefSeq and is a predicted model, not a curated record. Lineage: Eukaryota; Metazoa; Arthropoda; Arachnida; Ixodida; Ixodidae.